AUACGUAGGGGGCAAGCGUUGUCCGGAAUUAUUGGGCGUAAAGGGCGCGUAGGCGGCCUUAAAAGUCUGAUGUGAAAGUGCGGGGCUCAACCCCGUAAAGCAUUGGAAACUGUAGGGCUUGAGUGCAGGAGAGGAAAGUGGAAUUCCUAGUGUAGCGGUGAAAUGCGUAGAUAUUAGGAGGAACACCAGUGGCGAAGGCGACUUUCUGGACUGUAACUGACGCUGAGGCGCGAAAGCGUGGGUAGCGAACAGGAUUAGAUACCCUGGUAGUCCACGCCGUAAACGAUGAGUGCUAGGUGUAGAGGGUAUCGACCCCUUCUGUGCCGCAGUAAACACAAUAAGCACUCCGCCUGGGGAGUACGGCCGCAAGGCUGAA
This 376-nucleotide ribosomal RNA is filed under the name uncultured bacterium. Its description in RNAcentral is "bacterial SSU rRNA". It matches the Rfam family "Bacterial small subunit ribosomal RNA", at positions 523 to 898 of the family's 1533-position model. The record is from RNAcentral.